GACAGAGGGUGCAAACGUUGUUCGGAAUUACUGGGCGUAAAGCGCGUGUAGGCGGCCAUCUAAGUCGGGCGUGAAAUCCCACGGCUCAACCGUGGAAGUGCACUCGAAACUGGAUGGCUAGAGUCCUGGAGAGGAAGGUGGAAUGCUUGGUGUAGAGGUGAAAUUCGUAGAUAUCAAGCGGAACACCGGUGGCGAAGGCGGCCUUCUGAACAGUGACUGACGCUGAGACGCGAAAGCGUGGGGAGCAAACAGG
RNAcentral lists this ribosomal RNA (253 nucleotides) under uncultured bacterium. RNAcentral describes it as "partial 16S ribosomal RNA". It matches the Rfam family "Bacterial small subunit ribosomal RNA", at positions 524 to 776 of the family's 1533-position model. The record is from RNAcentral.